Long non-coding RNA from Hyalella azteca, 659 nucleotides. RefSeq lists it as uncharacterized. Lineage: Eukaryota; Metazoa; Arthropoda; Malacostraca; Amphipoda; Hyalellidae. The transcript is spliced from 2 exons. The record is from RefSeq and is a predicted model, not a curated record.
AGUUCGCUGAAGUGUCGAUCCGGUCCAAAAUCUCUCGAUUCGAUUUUACCUUCCAAAUCGAAUCCUCGCGGGGGAAGUGUUGAAAACUGCUAUCAUUCAUUUCAUUUAAGCAAAGAGUGAUCACAAUGUUCCCCAUGUCUAAAUUCAAAUUAAUUUUCCGACGGCAUUAUCUCCUUUACGUGUUUACUUGCACCCACUUAAUUUCGCCAUAUCGAGGUUAAUCCGCAGCCUUGAGAUUUUCAGCCCUGGCAGCCAUUCCAAGCCAGUUCAGCACCAACUAUCACCGCAUGACGACCUCCUCUACACACUUCACUGCCCUGCGUGUACGGAUCGCUCCGUAUCUGUGUAUUUUGAACUUCGCGUAAGGAUGGAGAGCGGCUAGCACUUUCUCGGUCAACCCCGUCAGCGAGAUGGCACUCCGUGGAGACGCUAGCACCCGACGGCGCGCAGGAGGUCGACUACUUCGCCUGCUGACUCGUCUGUGGACUCUAUGAAAGCCUACUGUGGUAGAGGCAUUCACCUCUUGUCAACCGCGUGUGGUGCAGCGGCGGCACUCCAGCAAUCCCGACGCUGUCUGGAAGUUUGCCGCUGCUUCGGGGUGCGAUUGAGGCGACGCAGCUCGAAACCAUUACGAUCAAUAUAAUUAACUUUAGUUCGUU